GGCUGAUUUAGGGUUUGUGCACAGGAAAUUAGUGAUUUAAAAUCAGAAGGGGGCUCAACAGUAGAGAUCGAGGGAAAGGAUGAGGCCGAGUUUGGCCGGAGUCGGAGCGGCCACAAUCGCCGCGUUGUUAACAGCCGGAGAUCGGAGGCUGAUGGUGGUGUUUGAGCAGUCGGCGGUGACGCCGUUGGUUGCGAGACGGAGGUGUUGGCGGUAUUGAAUGGGAACGGUGAUGGUGAUGGGGGUUUGAUUGGGGUUGCAGCGGCUGAAAGGCGAAGGUGGGAGGCAGAUGGCUGCGUCUGGCCAGCGGCGGCACUGUCGCGAGGCUGGGUUGGAGUUGAGAUAUGGUGAGGCUGAUGAUUCGAUGGGAGAUUAAGGUGUAGUGGCGCUUUUCCAAACGAAGGGGGAUUCGGGAUGAAAGCCGGAGAUUGGGGAUUGAAUUAUAUGCGGGUAGAUAUGGCUUUACUGUAUCUUUGACUGUAGUUGGGGUGUGUGUAUGUGUAUGUGUAUGGGUAUAAGUCGGGGUGUGAGGAUAUGGGUAGCUAUACUAGUGUGUUUUGUUGCCAGCCACAGUUAAUUGUGAGGCUAUGGUUGGGGUUUUCAAUUAGAAGUGAAGUAAGGUGUUAAGAUGGGGAGGUUAUAGAAGGAUGCGGUGGUGAUUGUUGGAGUAGAGAGAAGGUAAGGAAUGGUGUGGUUAAAGUGUUUGAUAAAUUGUUUGAGAGAGAUGUGGUGUUGGAUUGGUGUUGUAGGAUGUGAGUGUAAUUAAGUUGUGGUGAAGAAGGUUAAGGAAAAGAUGUUUAGCCUGUGCUGAAGUUGGGUGGCCAUGAGUUUGGUCGGCAGUGGGUGAUUUCAUUGUUGAUUGGGUUGCUAUGACCAUAGAGGAGAAGAGCAGAGGGGAUGAAUUAUAGCAAAGGAAUUGAAUGAUAUAGAUUAUAUUGGGAAGGUUGUGGGUAAAUUGUGAAUUCUUUAGAUUGCAUCUUAUAUCUAAAAUCUGGAGUUAUCGAUUGAUAGAUGUUUUAUAAUUGGUCAGAUCUAAUUAUACGCAUUGUUCUAAGGAUCCUGCAUUUAGAAAUUCAAUUCAAAUAUUUGAAUACUAAAUUGUGAUUGGAAGUGCAAAUUGUAUUAUUAUUAUUAUAACACGUGCUUAUUAUCGGGACUUAUUUCUGGAUCUCAAUUGUUUUGGUCUUGCGACGGAUGUCAUAGAUUCUAUUUAAACUCCAGAAACAUGUAUUAAAUCCGGAAAUCGAUUUUAGUUCUGGAUUGAGUCUAUUUACAAGUAUAUUAUUUGGACAGGGAUGGUGUGCUAUUGAUUUGAGGAUUUGCUCAAUUUUAAAAUACAAAUUGUCCAAAUUUAUAUUAUUUUAUUAUUUUAUUUGAUUAUAUUUUAAGUUGAUUCAAGAUGUGUUUGAAUUACAAUUGGAUUUGUAAUUCCGAAAGACUUGAUUUAUAUUUGGAAAUGGAUUGUAGCCAGGGGUAUAUUUAUCGUCACUAUGUUAAUUAUUUGUAUAUAAUCAUAUAUAAGAUUAUAUACAUGCUUUAUUAAAUUAUAUUUAUAUAAAUAUUAAGGCAUGUAAAUUAAUUGAUACGUGUUGAUGUGAUUAUGUGUUUAACUGAUUAACACUAUGUGUAUAUAUUAUUUGUAUAAAAUAUAUAUUUAUAUGACGAAGGGUAGUAAUAUAAUUUUUCGAUUCUGCGAAUUGACGACUUUCUGGAUUGCUCUCGACUGAAAUAUUAUAUUGCUUUGAUAUAUAGUCUCUCGAGACGCGUGCAUCAACGAUUGUCGGAAACAAGCAAAUAGCGUGGCAAGGCAAGUCAGAAAUAUUUUGAUAAGGCGAUAUUGUGCCGUAAGAUAGUCCAAUAGAUUAUAGUCAUUUCAGAAUUAGCGAUUGAGGCCAAUCUAGGAAUCUCGAGUAGGUGAUUGUAUGUCACCUGUUUCUGUCAAAUGCAAGUAUUUCUAUUCUUCUCUUAUUUAUUAAGAGCAAGUGAUUUUAUUCCACAACCUUUAAUUAUUGCCAGUGCAAUUAUUAUAUUCUGGACUUCAAUUCAUAGAAUAUCAUAUGCUUGGAAUUUAACUGUUGUUCGAUAUUCCAUAUACCAUACAGAUACUCAAAUAAUGAUUGAAUUCAAUACAUUCCAAUGAUUGAAUUCACUACAUUCUAGUAAUCAUUCUACUAGAAUUCUCGAAUUACUUCUAAGAUAGAUAGUGGAAAACUAUGCUAUCCAGAUAUACUCCAAAC
Molecule: long non-coding RNA, 2234 nt
Filed under: Daucus carota (carrot)
Lineage: Eukaryota; Viridiplantae; Streptophyta; Magnoliopsida; Apiales; Apiaceae
Description: long non-coding RNA (DCAR_LNC007703)
Source: RNAcentral